GAUGAACGCUGGCGGCGUGCCUAAUACAUGCAAGUCGAGCGAACAGACGAGGAGCUUGCUCCUCUGAUGUUAGCGGCGGACGGGCGAGUAACACGUGGAUAACCUACCUAUAAGACUGGGAUAACUUCGGGAAACCGGAGCUAAUACCGGAUAACAUGUUGAACCGCAUGGUUCAACAGUGAAAGACGGUCUUGCUGUCACUUAUAGAUGGAUCCGCGCCGCAUUAGCUAGUUGGUAAGGUAACGGCUUACCAAGGCAACGAUGCGUAGCCGACCUGAGAGGGUGAUCGGCCACACUGGAACUGAGACACGGUCCAGACUCCUACGGGAGGCAGCAGUAGGGAAUCUUCCGCAAUGGGCGAAAGCCUGACGGAGCAACGCCGCGUGAGUGAAGAAGGUCUUCGGAUCGUAAAACUCUGUUAUUAGGGAAGAACAAAUGUGUAAGUAACUAUGCACGUCUUGACGGUACCUAAUCAGAAAGCCACGGCUAACUACGUG
This 497-nucleotide ribosomal RNA is filed under the name uncultured bacterium. RNAcentral's name for it is "partial 16S ribosomal RNA". It matches the Rfam family "Bacterial small subunit ribosomal RNA", at positions 28 to 507 of the family's 1533-position model. The record is from RNAcentral.